ACACUGAGAAUCUUGGACAAUUCCCCCUGUGGACACUGCAGUCAAGCAGCUAACAAUUCACUGAGUGAAAUUGGAUCUCACUCUUUACCCUCUGUAAGGAGGUUGUACUCUUAAAAAUCCAGCCAGCUCAUGUCCCUCAUGGACACAAACAGACGGACAGAUGCAUGACUUGGUAAGCAGAGUUUCAGCCGACCUGAUUCAGCUCUGCUACAGACAGCUGAGAAGUUGAAAUAUGCUCCCUCUGCGUGGCACCACAAGAGGGCCCUGUCACACAGCUAGUCUCUGUUCAUGUCCACACCAUCAGCAAACAGCAGCCCCACAGGAAAGAAGUCACUGAUAACAAUGGAGGGGAAGAUCGACUCAUCUUUUAUCUGUCAUAGGAGCCCACAGCCCACUGAAUGACACAGAAACUUGUUCACCCAGGAAGGAAACUCCCUACUCACCAUGAGGACGUCAGUCCAAAGUCCAGUAGAGCAGCUGUGUUUUCUGUGUGCAUGUUUUUAUGAGUGAGAUUCAGGAAAGAGGGGGACUGUGUCAAU
This is a long non-coding RNA of Notolabrus celidotus (New Zealand spotty), 539 nucleotides long. RefSeq lists it as uncharacterized. Lineage: Eukaryota; Metazoa; Chordata; Actinopteri; Labriformes; Labridae. The record is from RefSeq and is a predicted model, not a curated record. The transcript has 4 exons.